CUAAAAACCUAGCCCAACAACUCCAACCGAACCACUUAACCAAAUAAAUUAAAAUAUUUUAAUGAUCUAGUAAAGAAGAUUGAAAAAUUUCACAGAGCAAUAGCCAUGUACCGCAAGGGAAAAUUGAAAUACUAAUGAAAUAAAAUAAAGCACAAAAUAGUAAAGAUUAUCCCUUGUACCUUUCGCAUCAUGAUUUAGCUAGUCCCACCAAGCAAAAAGACUUUAAGUUUGACACCCCGAAACUAAGUGAGCUACUCUGAGGCAACCUGAUAGCCAACCCGUCUCUGUUGCAAAAGAGUGGGAAGACCCCAAAGUAGCGGUUACACACCUAUCGAACUUAGUGAUAGCUGGUUGCCCAUGAAAAGAAUAUUAGUUCCACCUAAAGUUGCCCAACCACUUCUCAAUGCCUGACUUUAGAGCUAUUCAAACAGGGUACAGCCUAUUUGAAACAGGACACAACCUUAGCUGGCGGAUAAUUCACCACCCCCCCCCCCCACAAUAAGUAGGCCUAAGAACAGCCACCUUUAAAAAUGCGUCAAAGCUUAAUCUGACAAACUACCUACCUAAUAACCCCACCAACCCCCUACCAAUAAUGAGCACUUCUAUAACUUAUAGAAAAUAUUAUGCUAAAACUAGUAACAAGAAGAAGCAAUUCUUCUCCUUCAUGCAAACAUAACCCAGCCCAGGAUAACCCCCCGGAAAUUAACAGCCUCAAACCUUAUGACAACACUACCUCAAGAAACCCCCAUUAACGUCCGCUGUUAACCUAACACAAGAGCAUGACAAGAAAGAUUUAAAGAGCAGGAAGGAACUCGGCAAAUUUAAAUCCCGCCUGUUUACCAAAAACAUCGCCUCCCGACCAAACAUGGGAGGUCCAGCCUGCCCAGUGAAUAAUUUAACGGCCGCGGUACACUAACCGUGCAAAGGUAGCACAAUCACUUGUCCUUUAAAUAAGGACUUGUAUGAACGGCACCACGAGGAUUAAACUGUCUCCCCCCUCUAAUCUGUGAAACUAAUCCUCCUGUGAAAAAGCAGGAAUCUACCUAUAAGACGAGAAGACCCUGUGGAACUUCAAACAAACAACACCUGCUCAACCUUCUAAUCCUUCCCGAACCGCUAUAUUCACGAGCACCCUGAUUGUAAGUUUUAGGUUGGGGCGACCACGGAGAAAAACCUAUCCUCCACGAUGAACAGACCUAAAUCCAGUCAUAAGCCACAGCUUUACAAAUCAACAAACUGACAUUAUUGACCCAAAUUCUUGAUCAACGAAAUAAGCUACCCCAGGGAUAACAGCGCAAUCUACUUCGAGAGUACUUAUCAACAAGUAGGCUUACGACCUCGAUGUUGGAUCAAGGUGUCCUAGUGGUGCAGCCGCUACAUAGGUUCGUUUGUUCAACGAUUAAAACCCUACGUGAUCUGAGUUCAGACCGGAGUAAUCCAGGUCGGUUUCUAUCUAUAAGGAGCCACCUCCAGUACGAAAGGACCGAGGAAGCAAGGCCAAUAAAAACUUAAGCCUUAUCAGACAAUUUAUGUUCUACUUAAUAAAAUUCUCCAGCCAAAAUAUACCUCUAGACAAGAGUA
RNAcentral lists this ribosomal RNA (1581 nucleotides) under Craugastor andi. RNAcentral's name for it is "16S ribosomal RNA". It matches the Rfam family "Bacterial large subunit ribosomal RNA". The record is from RNAcentral. Lineage: Eukaryota; Metazoa; Chordata; Amphibia; Anura; Craugastoridae.